CCAGACUCCUACGGGAGGCAGCAGUGGGGAAUAUUGCGCAAUGGGGGCAACCCUGACGCAGCCAUGCCGCGUGAAUGAGGAAGGCCUUCGGGUUGUAAAGUUCUUUCGGUAGCGAGGAAGGCAUUUAGUUUAAUAGACUAGGUGAUUGACGUUAACUACAGAAGAAGCACCGGCUAACUCCGUGCCAGCAGCCGCGGUAAUACGGAGGGUGCGAGCGUUAAUCGGAAUAACUGGGCGUAAAGGGCACGCAGGCGGUGACUUAAGUGAGGUGUGAAAGCCCCGGGCUUAACCUGGGAAUUGCAUUUCAUACUGGGUCGCUAGAGUACUUUAGGGAGGGGUAGAAUUCCACGUGUAGCGGUGAAAUGCGUAGAGAUGUGGAGGAAUACCGAAGGCGAAGGCAGCCCCUUGGGAAUGUACUGACGCUCAUGUGCGAAAGCGUGGGGAGCAAACAGGAUUAGAUACCCUGGUAGUCCACGCUGUAAACGAUGUCGAUUUGGGGGUUGAACUUUGAGUUUGGCGCCCGUAGCUAACGUGAUAAAUCGACCGCCUGGGGAGUACGGCCGCAAGGUUAAAACUCAAAUGAAUUGACGGGGGCCCGCACAAG
This 604-nucleotide ribosomal RNA is filed under the name uncultured bacterium. RNAcentral describes it as "bacterial SSU rRNA". It matches the Rfam family "Bacterial small subunit ribosomal RNA", at positions 331 to 929 of the family's 1533-position model. The record is from RNAcentral.